GAGCGAACAGGAUUAGAUACCCUGGUAGUCCACGCCGUAAACGGUGGAUGCUGGAUGUGGGGCCCGUUCCACGGGUUCCGUGUCGGAGCUAACGCGUUAAGCAUCCCGCCUGGGGAGUACGGCCGCAAGGCUAAAACUCAAAGAAAUUGACGGGGGCCCGCACAAGCGGCGGAGCAUGCGGAUUAAUUCGAUGCAACGCGAAGAACCUUACCUGGGCUUGACAUGUUCCCGACGAUCCCAGAGAUGGGGUUUCCCUUCGGGGCGGGUUCACAGGUGGUGCAUGGUCGUCGUCAGCUCGUGUCGUGAGAUGUUGGGUUAAGUCCCGCAACGAGCGCAACCCUCGCCCCGUGUUGCCAGCGGAUUAUGCCGGGAACUCACGGGGGACCGCCGGGGUUAACUCGGAGGAAGGUGGGGAUGACGUCAGAUCAUCAUGCCCCUUACGUCCAGGGCUUCACGCAUGCUACAAUGGCCGGUACAACGGGAUGCGACAGUGCGAGCUGGAGCGGAUCCCUGAAAACCGGUCUCAGUUCGGAUCGCAGUCUGCAACUCGACUGCGUGAAGGCGGAGUCGCUAGUAAUCGCGAAUCAGCAACGUCGCGGUGAAUGCGUUCCCGGGCCUUGUACACACCGCCCGUCAAGUCAUGAAAGUGGGCAGCACCCGAAGCCGGUGGCCUAACCCCUUGCGGGAGGGAGCCGUCUAAGGUGAGGCUCGUGAUUGGGACUAAGUCGUAACAAGGUAGCCGUACCGGAAGGUGCGGCUG
This 760-nucleotide ribosomal RNA is filed under the name human gut metagenome. RNAcentral describes it as "bacterial SSU rRNA". It matches the Rfam family "Bacterial small subunit ribosomal RNA", at positions 766 to 1520 of the family's 1533-position model. The record is from RNAcentral.